Molecule: transfer RNA, 72 nt
Filed under: archaeon
Lineage: Archaea
Also listed under: 1 other name
Description: tRNA-Thr
Rfam family: tRNA
About the family: Transfer RNA (tRNA) molecules are approximately 80 nucleotides in length. Their secondary structure includes four short double-helical elements and three loops (D, anti-codon, and T loops). Further hydrogen bonds mediate the characteristic L-shaped molecular structure. tRNAs have two regions of fundamental functional importance: the anti-codon, which is responsible for specific mRNA codon recognition, and the 3' end, to which the tRNAs corresponding amino acid is attached (by aminoacyl-tRNA synthetases). tRNAs cope with the degeneracy of the genetic code in two manners: having more than one tRNA (with a specific anti-codon) for a particular amino acid; and 'wobble' base-pairing, i.e. permitting non-standard base-pairing at the 3rd anti-codon position.
Source: RNAcentral
GCCUCGGUAGCAUAGUGGCAAUGCAGCUGACUUGUAAUCAGCAGAUCGUGGGUUCGAAUCCCACCCGAGGCU